UACGGGGGGAGCAAGCGUUGUUCGGAUUUACUGGGCGUAAAGGGCGCGUAGGCGGUCAGCACAAGUCAGUUGUGAAAUCUCCGGGCUUAACUCGGAAAGGUCAACUGAUACUGUGCGACUAGAGUGCAGAAGGGGCAACUGGAAUUCUCGGUGUAGCGGUGAAAUGCGUAGAUAUCGAGAGGAACACCAGUGGCGAAGGCGGCAUCCUGGCCCUGUCCUGACGCUCAGGGGCGAAAGCGUGGGGAGCAAACGGG
This 254-nucleotide ribosomal RNA is filed under the name uncultured bacterium. RNAcentral describes it as "partial 16S ribosomal RNA". It matches the Rfam family "Bacterial small subunit ribosomal RNA", at positions 524 to 776 of the family's 1533-position model. The record is from RNAcentral.